UGAGCAGUAGAGUGUUACUUGUUCUUCAAGAUUCUGCGCUCAAAACUCGUCGAAUGGCUAUUUAUUUCAGUUUUAUUGAUACAGUUAGUAAAAGAAUGAUGUGCUACGAUAAUAUCUAAUGAGAUUACUCCAGCCUAGAUCAUGGAACUCAAUUUUAAUACACUUAAGGAUCACUGUGCAUCUAAACAAACCAUUAAGGGCAGAUAUCAAUACUAUUUUCUGACCGGGGAGCAGCUCUACAUCACAAGUGAAGAUAUGGAUCGGUGAAUGUGGUAUGAGACAUCUCCUAUAUAUAUAUAUAUUAAUAGUAAAUUAGGAUAGACUUCUAACACUCCCCAAUAACACAGAUGGCUAGGGCUGGGAUGUUUAUGGUGGUACUAUUAUGACACAGUCCAUCCUGACCCUUUCGGCAGUGCCAUGUUCUAUCCGGUUGGUUCUGAGUCCAAUGGGUGCUUUCAAGUUAGAGUCAACUGACCUGCAGAUCGCAUUUCCGCGUGCCAACAACUGGACGAACAUGUGCUACUGUUUGAUUGUGGUUUAUGGAUGGCUGUGGAGUGAGACAAUCACCAUGAAUAGGGUUUGAGUUGUUAGGGUCUCUGUAGGAUAUUUGCAGUUGUCAGUCGAGUGUUUCAUUUCUUAUCAGUGCCCUUUGUGGUGGUCCCACAGCUUUUUCAUAAUGGUAGCGGGCUCAGUACAGCACUAAUUUGAUGAGCAGGUGGUACUGUUACACUGUGGCCUGGUCUGAUCUGUUCUAUGAGACUGGCGAUGCAAAUAUUAGAUUGUAGUGCCUUCAGCAAACUUAGGAAAGGGGGGAUGAGAAUUAUUUGAGUUAAGAAUUAGGAUUAAAGUGAUCUAAGUUUAGAUUAGAGACUGAAGUUAUAUUGGUAGAGUCUAGCCUCUAGCCUUUGCUAGUUGGCGGGGUUAAGCCUCUAGCCUUUGCUAGUUGGCGGGGUGAAGCCUCUAGCCUUUGCUAGUUGGCGGGGUGAAGCCUCUAGCCUUUGCUAGUUGGCGGUGUUAAGCCUCUAGCCUUUGCUAGUUGCUAUAAUAAGUCAAGAAUUAGAAUUAAGAAAUUAGUUAUCUAAGUUUAGAUUUAAGACUGAAGUAAUAUUGGUAAAGUAUAGCCUCUAGCCUUUGCUAGUUGGCGGGGAUCAGGAAGUAUUGCCUCUAGCCUUUGCUAGUUGGCGGGGAUCAGGAAGUAUUGCCUCUAGCCUUUGCUAGUUGGCGGGGAUCAGGAAGUAUUGCCUCUAGCCUUUGCUAGUUGGCGGGGAUCAGGAAGAAUUGCCUCUAGCCUUUGCUAGUUGGCGGGGAUGAGGAAGUAUUGCCUCUAGCCUUUGCUAGUUGCUACAAUUGGUCAAGCAUUAGAAUUAAGAAAUUAGUAAUCUAAGUUAGAUUUAAGACUGAAGUAAUAUUGGUAAAGUGUAGCCUCUAGCCUUUGCUAGUUGGCGGGGAUCAGGAAGUAUUGCCUCUAGCCUUUGCUAGUUGGCGGGGUUAAGCCUCUAGCCUUUGCUAGUUGG
RNAcentral lists this unclassified non-coding RNA (1514 nucleotides) under Nilaparvata lugens (brown planthopper). Its description in RNAcentral is "uncharacterized LOC120356068, transcript variant X2". The record is from RNAcentral. Lineage: Eukaryota; Metazoa; Arthropoda; Insecta; Hemiptera; Delphacidae.